RNAcentral lists this transfer RNA (67 nucleotides) under Gemmatimonadota bacterium. Its description in RNAcentral is "Gemmatimonadetes bacterium (beach sand metagenome) tRNA-Ser". Lineage: Bacteria; Pseudomonadati; Gemmatimonadota. The record is from RNAcentral.
GGGGCGUGAGAGAUGCAUUCCCUGCUUUGCAAGCAGGGGGUCGCCGGUUCGAGCCCGGCUGGCUCCA